RNAcentral lists this ribosomal RNA (914 nucleotides) under uncultured Acidobacteriota bacterium. RNAcentral's name for it is "bacterial SSU rRNA". It matches the Rfam family "Bacterial small subunit ribosomal RNA", at positions 8 to 934 of the family's 1533-position model. The record is from RNAcentral. Lineage: Bacteria; Pseudomonadati; Acidobacteriota.
AGGGUUUGAUCAUGGCUCAGAAUCAACGCUGGCGGCGUGCCUCAGACAUGCAAGUCGAACGAUUAAAGCUCCCUUCGGGGAGUGCAUAAAGUGGCGCACGGGUGAGUAACACGUAAGUAAUCUACCCUCGGGUGGGGAAUAACAUCGGGAAACCGAUGCUAAUACCGCAUAAUGCAGCGGCACCGCAAGGUGACAGUUGUUAAAGAUUUAUUGCCUGGGGAGGAGCUUGCGGCAGAUUAGCUUGUUGGUAAGGUAACGGCUUACCAAGGCUACGAUCUGUAUCCGGUCUAAGAGGACGGUCGGACACACUGACACUGAAUAACGGGUCAGACUCCUACGGGAGGCAGCAGUCGGGAAUUUUGGGCAAUGGGGGGAACCCUGACCCAGCAACGCCGCGUGAAGGAUGAAGUAUUUCGGUAUGUAAACUUCGAAAGAAUAGGAAGAAUUAAUGACGGUACUAUUUAUAAGGUCCGGCUAACUACGUGCCAGCAGCCGCGGUAAUACGUAGGGACCAAGCGUUGUUCGGAUUUACUGGGCGUAAAGGGCGCGUAGGCGGCGCGGUAAGUCACUUGUGAAAUCUCUGAGCUUAACUCAGAACGGCCAGGUGAUACUGCAGUGCUAGAGUGUGGAAGGGGCAAUCGGAAUUCUUGGUGUAGCGGUGAAGUGCGUAGAUAUCAAGAGGAACACCUGAGGUGAAGACGGGUUGCUGGGCCAACACUGACGCUGAGGCGCGAAAGCCAGGGGAGCAAACGGGAUUAGAUACCCCGGUAGUCCUGGCCCUAAACGAUGAAUACUUGGUGUCUGGAGUUUUAAUACUCCGGGUGCCGUCGCUAACGUUUUUAGUAUUCCGCCUGGGGAGUACGCUCGCAAGAGUGAAACUCAAAGGGAAUUGACGGGGACCCGCACAAGCGGUG